UGGAAAUGUGUCAGUGGGGAU
Molecule: non-coding RNA, 21 nt
Filed under: Caenorhabditis elegans
Lineage: Eukaryota; Metazoa; Nematoda; Chromadorea; Rhabditida; Rhabditidae
Source: RNAcentral